UUGACCUCGGAUCAGGUAGGGAUACCCGCUGAACUUAAGCAUAUCAAUAAGCGGAGGAAAAGAAACCAACAGGGAUUGCCCCAGUAACGGCGAGUGAAGCGGCAAAAGCUCAAAUUUGAAAUCUGGCUCCUUUCGGGGUCCGAGUUGUAAUUUGAAGAGGAUGCUUUGGGUGCGUCCGCGGCGUAAGUCCCUUGGAACAGGGCGUCAUAGAGGGUGAGAAUCCCGUCUUGAGUCGCCGGCGCGCGCCCGUUUAAAGCUCCUUCGACGAGUCGAGUUGUUUGGGAAUGCAGCUCUAAGUGGGUGGUAAAUUUCAUCUAAAGCUAAAUAUUGGCCGGAGACCGAUAGCGAACAAGUAGAGUGAUCGAAAGGUUAAAAGCACCUUGAAAAGGGAGUUAAAUAGCACGUGAAAUUGUUGAAAGGGAAGCGCUUGCAGCCAGACUCGGGUUCGGAGGCUCAGCGGGUAUUGUUAUGCCCGUGCACUCCUCCGCACCCGGGCCAGCAUCAGUUUUGGCGGCCGGUCAAAGGCCCCCGGAAUGUGUCGUCCUCCGGGACGUCUUAUAGCCGGGGGUGCAAUGCGGCCAGCCGGGACUGAGGAACGCGCUUCGGCACGGAUGCUGGCGUAAUGGCUGUAAGCGGCCCGUCUUGAAACACGGACCAAGGAGUCUAACAUCCACGCGAGUGUUCGGGUGUCAAACCCGUACGCGCAGUGAAAGCGAACGGAGGUGAGAGCCCCUUCGGGGGCGCAUCAUCGACCGAUCCUGAAGUCUUCGGAUGGAUUUGAGUAAGAGCGUGGCUGUUGGGACCCGAAAGAUGGUGAACUAUGCCUGAAUAGGGUGAAGCCAGGAGAAAUUCUGGUGGAGGCUCGCAGCGGUUCUGACGUGCAAAUCGAUCGUCAAAUUUGGGUAUAGGGGCGAAAGACUAAUCGAACCAUCUGGUAGCUGGUUCCUGCCGAAGUUUCCCUCAGGAUAGCAGUAACGUUUUCAGUUUUAUGAGGUAAAGCGAAUGAUUAGAGGCCUUGGGGUUGAAACAACCUUAACCUAUUCUCAAACUUUAAAUAUGUAAGAAGCUCUUGUUGCUUAAGUGAACGUGA
RNAcentral lists this ribosomal RNA (1090 nucleotides) under Malbranchea umbrina. RNAcentral's name for it is "eukaryotic LSU rRNA". It matches the Rfam family "Eukaryotic large subunit ribosomal RNA", at positions 1 to 1104 of the family's 3401-position model. The record is from RNAcentral. Lineage: Eukaryota; Fungi; Ascomycota; Eurotiomycetes; Onygenales; Malbrancheaceae.